This 829-nucleotide ribosomal RNA is filed under the name uncultured archaeon. RNAcentral describes it as "bacterial SSU rRNA". It matches the Rfam family "Archaeal small subunit ribosomal RNA", at positions 52 to 887 of the family's 1478-position model. The record is from RNAcentral.
UGCGAGUCAUUGUAGCAAUACAAGGCAGACGGCUCAGUAACGCGUAGUCAAUCUACCCUAUGGACGGGAAUAACCUCGGGAAACUGAGAAUAAUGCCCGACAGAACAUUAUACCUGGAACGGUUUAUGUUUCAAAUGAUUUAUCGCCGUAGGAUGGGACUGCGGCCUAUCAGUUUGUUGGUGAGGUAAUGGCCCACCAAGACUAUUACAGGUACGGGCUCUGAGAGGAGUAGCCCGGAGAUGGGUACUGAGACACGGACCCAGGCCCUAUGGGGCGCAGCAGGCGAGAAAACUUUGCAAUGUGCGAAAGCACGACAAGGUUAAUCCGAGUGGUUUCUGCUAAAGAAACCUUUUGCUAGUCCUAGAAACACUAGUGAAUAAGGGGUGGGCAAGUUCUGGUGUCAGCCGCCGCGGUAAAACCAGCACCUCAAGUGGUCAGGAUGAUUAUUGGGCCUAAAGCAUCCGUAGCUCGUUUUGUAAGUUUUCGGUUAAAUCCAUACGCUUAACGUAUGGGCUGCCGGGAAUACUGCAUAACUAGGAAGUGGGAGAGGUAGACGGUACUCGGUAGGAAGGGGUAAAAUCCUUUGAUCUAUUGAUGACCACCUGUGGCGAAGGCGGUCUACCAGAACACGUUCGACGGUGAGGGAUGAAAGCUGGGGGAGCAAACCGGAUUAGAUACCCGGGUAGUCCCAGCUGUAAACUAUGCAAACUCAGUGAUGCAUUGGCUUGUGGCCAAUGCRGUGCUGCAGGGAAGCCGUUAAGUUUGCCGCCUGGGAAGUACGUACGCAAGUAUGAAACUUAAAGGAAUUGGCGGGGGAGCACCACAAGGG